CCUACGGGUGGCAGCAGUGGGGAAUAUUGGACAAUGGGCGCAAGCCUGAUCCAGCCACGCCGCGUGAGUGAUGAAGGCCUUCGGGUCGUAAAGCUCUGUGGGGAGGGACGAACCGCCACCGGUUAAUACCCGGUGGCAUGACGGUACCUCCUUAGCAAGCACCGGCUAACUUCGUGCCAGCAGCCGCGGUAAUACGAAGGGGGCAUACUUGGGUCGGAAGUAUUGGGCGUAAAGCGCGCGUGGGCGGCUUGAAAUCCCUCGGCUCAACCAAGGAAGUGCUUUCGAAACUGCUGAGCUUGAGUACUUAAGAGGAUCGCGGAAUUCCCGGUGUAGAGGUGAAAUUCGUAGAUAUCGGGAGGAACACCAGUGGCGAAGGCGGCGAUCUGGGAAGAUACUGACGCUGAGGUGCGAAAGCGUGGGGAGCAAACAGGAUUAGAUACCCGAGUAGUC
This 450-nucleotide ribosomal RNA is filed under the name uncultured bacterium. RNAcentral describes it as "partial 16S ribosomal RNA". It matches the Rfam family "Bacterial small subunit ribosomal RNA", at positions 338 to 795 of the family's 1533-position model. The record is from RNAcentral.